RNAcentral lists this long non-coding RNA (1536 nucleotides) under Mus musculus (house mouse). RNAcentral describes it as "long non-coding RNA chr11:29145408-29146944". The record is from RNAcentral. Lineage: Eukaryota; Metazoa; Chordata; Mammalia; Rodentia; Muridae.
UUUUUUUCUUUUUUUUUAAGGUACUCUGUACUGUUACAUUUGAUUCAUUAGAAUCCAGUAUUAAGUCAGAUCAAAUUAUAACAGCUAUAAAGUAAGUUAUAUUUUGUUAUAUUUUGUGUUAUUUUACUAAAUGGUCUUUUUUUUUUUUUUUUUGUAUCCUGGUACUUUAUUCUAGUCUUAACAGUAACAAACUCUUAAAGGGCAUUUGAAAUAAUGCCUCGCUGUGUAGUCUAGGCUAACCUCUGAUUUACAGAGUGCUGGAAUUACAGAUAUGAGCUAUCAUAACCAACUUCAUUAUUACUUUUAUAGCCUUUAUAGCCUUUUAUAGUUUACACAGAAAAACUUGGAUUGCAGAGAACGCUUUUCUGUUGGUAAACCAUAUUUUCUUCUAAAUUGUUGUUUUAGAAUACAUUUAGAAGACAUUUGUUCUAUAAUGUGAUUAUUUAGCUUAUGUUCCUAGAAACACUCCUCAGCACUAACUUCUAAGGUAAUCUUGAAUAAAUUUUCUAUUACAAAAGAGAGAACAAAUAUAUGAGUGAAGUCCAGGUGCUAAAAAUAAGCCAGAGACUAUUAAUAAAAAAACUUGUGUCUAGUCUCAAGUGAUAUUUAAUUUUGUGCUCAGAAAUACUUGGUUUUCUUCCUCUUCCUAAAAGUUCAGCAGUAUAACUCUGUUCAUCUGGUUAAGAUGUUUUCUCUGCCCCACUGCAUCAUGGUCCUAAAACUUACAGGCUUACUACCAAACUGAUGGUAAUAACUCCUGAUUGUUUUCAGGAUUGCUACCUAACACCCCCCACCCCAUUUUUUUAUGUACGUAAUUAACAGUUCAGGAACUGGGGAUGUAUGUAGCUCAGUUGGUAGUGUUGCCUAACAUAUAAAAGAUCCUGGAUGCAGUCUCCUUCACCACCUAAAUCUAUCUUAGUGGUAUAUAUACACCUGCAGUUACAGCACUGAGAAGGUAGACGCAGGAAGAUCAGUAGACUACGCUAUCCUUGUCUACCUAGCAAAUUGGAGGGCAGCCCAGGUACAUGAGACCCUGUAUCUAAAACACAACAACAAAAGAUCAUUUUGGGGGGGAAGGAAAAUUGUUUUCCUCAGUCAGUCUAGAAUUCAGGUGUAAGUACCAGCUGUUGGAAGACAUCUCUCAGUUUCUCAUGGGGCUGAAGCAGGAGCAUUACCUAAAUAAGGGGUUUGAAACCAACCUGGGCAAGCAUAUAUAAAGAGACGAUCUCAAAAAAAAAAAAAUCCUAUUCACCCUCUCUUCUUCAGGUUUUGUGUUUCCAACCAACUUAUUAAUACUCAACUAUUUUUCUAAAAUCAUAAUAAAUCAUUUAUAGAAGUAAGUUUGUUUAUGUCCUUAUAAUGGUUUUGGUAUUCCUUUUUCUUGUAGUGGGGUAAAAGAUAAAAAUUUCAUGCUGCACUAUGAGGUAAGAUACAUUUUCUCCCCAACAUUUUUAUUGUGAAAAUACCUUCUGGCUUCCACAUACACCAGCCACACACACAUUUACAUAGACAUACAGACAGACAAAACACAUAUAC